This is a long non-coding RNA of Strongylocentrotus purpuratus (purple sea urchin), 371 nucleotides long. RefSeq lists it as uncharacterized. Lineage: Eukaryota; Metazoa; Echinodermata; Echinoidea; Camarodonta; Strongylocentrotidae. The record is from RefSeq and is a predicted model, not a curated record. The transcript is spliced from 3 exons.
GAAGUCAAUGGUCUGAACAUUGAUCUAAAAGCAGCGAGAAGGGCGUUCGGAGUGAUCAGUAAGAACGACAAACUCCUUGAAAGGCUCUCCGAUGUGAUCUCUGUUGAUCUGUGUACCAGCAUACCCCAGUCGACACCCCACACCGAAGCCCUUCAGUUCGUAUUUAUUCUGAUGGAAUGUCCUGUCUUCAGUAACCCUCACCGCCACUGGGGGCGCCGUGCCCUGGCCGCUGCAGAAAGGUUGUUAGGAUUCCUUCACACGGCAUCGCAGGCCGCAUACAACAAUUCCAACUCGGCAACACCUGCUCGUUGGUGGAAGUUCGAACCAAUGUCAUUUCAGCGUACAAUCACGGCUUACCGAAUGUCCCUCAC